CUCCAGUGUUUCCCCAGUCGUGAUAGCUUUCUAUUCUAUUUUCAGCCUCUGCACCGAUAACCCUUUUGUUCUCUCUGGAGCCCCCAUGCUGACAGGGCGUCCUUCCUCCUUUAUAAUCUGUCUGUCUUUCUGUAUAUUUAUCUCUGCAGGAAUGUAACUCCAAAGAAAGAAAAGUCAGCUCCAGGUUUAUUCCCUGCAGCUCAGCUGGCUGUUUAUGUCUCUACAAAGCAUUCACCCCAGAAAGGAAUGUGUACAGCUGGAGGCAUCGCAGAAAACAACACACCCCAAUGUCAGGUAACUGAGUCAGGUACACCGGGAACUCAAAACAGAUCUAUUUUUCCCUUUGUAUGAGGACAAAUGGAACCGUGAGUGCCCAAACUCCAGUGGGGGAAAGCGGCUGCGGGGGGAGAGGGGGUGUUGGGAGAAACAAAACAAGUGGUGUUAGGAUCUGUUUUUUUUUCUUUUUUUUUCCUUUCCCAGGGCUCCUGCACCCCGCCCUCAGGGCAGCCAGGCCAAGAACAGGAGUUGAUUCUUGACGGGAAAGCUCCAAAUGAGACCCGACCUUGAAGGUUCUGC
Molecule: long non-coding RNA, 576 nt
Filed under: Lynx pardinus (Iberian lynx)
Lineage: Eukaryota; Metazoa; Chordata; Mammalia; Carnivora; Felidae
Source: RNAcentral